Molecule: long non-coding RNA, 1012 nt
Organism: Lagenorhynchus albirostris (white-beaked dolphin)
Lineage: Eukaryota; Metazoa; Chordata; Mammalia; Artiodactyla; Delphinidae
Exons: 3
Source: RefSeq, a predicted model, not a curated record
CAGGCGGCCCAUUAGCAUUGCAGGAAAGUGCUGCAGUCCUGGUCCCUCCCGGGCGCCGGAGCGGAGAGACUGGGUCCCGCAGGCGCCUACACCCCACCCGCCCCGGAGCCCACGCCGCGGGGGCUUAGACUGGGGAGGGAGAGGUGACCGACCCCUUCUUUUGGGAGGUGAGACGCUGAGGCCUGAGGGUUUGUAGAUGAGAAACUGAGGUGCAGAGACUUGAAAGCCCAAGGUCACACAACUGGCCAGCACUCUGGAAACACCCAGUGCCUUGCUGCAGUUCUGCUAGAAGACUGCGGAGUCGCCAAGGGCAGUUUAACACAGAUCCAUCUCUCUGUAAGGAAAACGAGAGGAGAGAGGCACAAGGGAGAACCGGGUCAGCUCUGCUGCAAAGGAUGAGAACUUGAAGGCGUCCCCAGCCUGGACGGGUGCUGAGUGACAGAGACACUCUGGGGUAUCAGCUGUGACUCUGCAGAAUCCACCUGGGGUCUAAAAACUGCAGUUUCUAUUCCAAUGGCCAUGUUCUGCAGGGCCCCUUUCAGUGAACCUCUUCCUCUCUCAGCACCUCAAAGUCUUCCACUAUGAAAUGAUUAGGUGGAUUAUCACUAGGGAUACUAUCUGGUGUUAGGAACUAGAAAUAAUAUUGAUGAUAAUAAUAAUAAGAAUGAAGGGCUUCCCUGGUGGCUCAGUGGUUAAGAAUCCGCCUGCCAAUGUAGGGGACAUGGGUUCGAGCCCUGGUCCGGGAAGUUCCCACAUGCCAUGGAGCAACUAAGCCUGUGUGCCACAACUACUGAGCCUGCUCUCUAGAGCCCGUGAGCCACAACUAUUGAGCCCACAUGCCACGACUAUUGAAGCUCAUGCGCCUAGAGCCCUUGCUCCGUGGCAAGAGAAGCCACCGCAAUGAGAAGCCUGCAUGCCACAAGGAAGAGUAGCCCCUGCUCGCUGCAACUAGAGAAAGCCCGCGCCCAGCAACGAAGACCCAACCCAACACAGCCAAAAAUAAAUAAAUAAA